RNAcentral lists this ribosomal RNA (253 nucleotides) under uncultured bacterium. RNAcentral describes it as "partial 16S ribosomal RNA". It matches the Rfam family "Bacterial small subunit ribosomal RNA", at positions 524 to 776 of the family's 1533-position model. The record is from RNAcentral.
UACGUAGGGACCAAGCGUUGUUCGGAUUUACUGGGCGUAAAGCGCGUGUAGGCGGCUCGGCAAGUCGGGUGUGAAAGCCCUGGGCUUAACCUAGGAAGUGCACUCGAAACUGCCAAGCUUGAGUUCUGGAGAGGAAGGCGGAAUUCCCGGUGUAGUGGUGAAAUACGUAGAGAUUGGGAAGAACACCAGUGGCGAAGGCGGCUAUCUGGACGGUUUCUGACACUAAGACUCGAAAGCGUGGGGAGCAAACAGG